RNAcentral lists this unclassified non-coding RNA (407 nucleotides) under uncultured fungus. RNAcentral's name for it is "partial contains small subunit ribosomal RNA, internal transcribed spacer 1, and 5.8S ribosomal RNA". The stretch from base 1 to 73 matches the Rfam family "Eukaryotic small subunit ribosomal RNA", at positions 1759 to 1831 of the family's 1831-position model. Lineage: Eukaryota; Fungi. The record is from RNAcentral.
GCAAACUUGGUCAUUUAGAGGAAGUAAAAGUCGUAACAAGGUUUCCGUAGGUGAACCUGCGGAAGGAUCAUUAUCGAAUAACACUUGAUGGGUUGUAGCUGGCCUCAAUGGGGCAUGUGCACAUCUGUCUUUUGUUUCAUUCAUCCAUCUGUGCACUAUUUGUAGUCUUUGGGGGCUGAGAACAGCUGAUUCCUCAGUUGAGAGACUGGACGAGAGGGACUGCAUGUGCGCGUGAGUGCGCACAGCUUUCCUCAGUAGCAGGCUGUGAUCUCCCUUGAAGUCUAUGACUUUUAUCUAUAAACCAUAUAGUAUGUUAUAGAAUGUAUUUGAAAGGGCUCUCGGCCCAUAAACUCUAUACAACUUUCAGCAACGGAUCUCUUGGCUCUCGCAUCGAUGAAGAACGCAGC